CCAGCUCUUCCUGAAAGAAACUGGAGCCUUCCUCAUGCAGGAUACUGCAUGAAAGUUGCACGGAAAAUUGAUAUAUAUCUCCAGUGACUCACCUGUACCUUUGGAAAAGUCAGAAUGACAUGGAUGAGAUGACAUACAUACAUACGCACCUUUUAGUCACAGUUACGCCUGCUGUUGAAAUCUGUUCAUCCUUCAUUUUUGCUCUAUAGAGUCAUUUCCCUCCAUAGAGAAAGAGUGUACAAUCUUCAGAGCAGCAGGGGUGACUGUCCUCCUUCUGGGCUCCUUCCCACUCACCAGAGCAAUGUAUGGGCACCAGGACUGCCGAACACCUGCUCAAUAAUUGCAGAUAUUUCUGCCUUGACCAAUAUUCAAAAAGCCUCCUCAUUCAGGAUGAUACUCCUGGGAAUGAGCAGAAAUGCUGAAAUAUGGCCACAAACAAAAACAUACAAAG
Molecule: long non-coding RNA, 451 nt
Organism: Lagopus leucura (white-tailed ptarmigan)
Lineage: Eukaryota; Metazoa; Chordata; Aves; Galliformes; Phasianidae
Exons: 3
Source: RefSeq, a predicted model, not a curated record